GCAGUUUUCCCCCCACAGUUUGGCCCCGAUGGACGUCCAUGAGCGGAAGCUGCAGGAAGAGGAUACACCGAAUGGAUGUUAACUUUUUGUUUGUUUUCCUAAACUUUUUGCAAAACCAGCUGCGUGCUUAUUUUGCAAGAAACCCACGCGAGGAUGGGCACGGAAGGGAAGCCCGAGUGCUGAGACCAGAGCUCAGCUGCUGAGGGGUGUGGAUCAGUCCCACGAAGCAGACGGAGGUCGGGAUCAGGAAGAUUACGACGGUGUAAACCUGAGAAACGAGGCCACGAUUAACCCACCUCCAUUUUUAGGGGCCCUACUUACUUUAGGAACCCUCCAUCUUUCAGUCAGCUGCUUUGGGAAGCGCACUGAGCAAACUCGGCUGCAAAAGGAUCAGGGAGGAGUCCCUGCUGCAACAAACUCAAAGCACUCCCAGUGCUCCGCCGAGCAAAAGCUCUCUCUGUUUUUACCUGUUUCUUUUUCCUCCUACAGAGCCUAAGACUUUUCCUGGAAUGCGACGAUCUCCGGGUGCCUCAACCCGAGCACACAGUCCUGCCCUCAGCCCCUUCCCCAGGGUGAGGGGGCAGCAGUACAUGCAAUGCCCAGCGCCCUCCCCCCCAAAGCACUUACUUGCAGAGAGCAGCAUAGGUGUGACCCUGCAGCAGGCAGGGAGGAGGAGAUUUAGCCUGGGCGUUUCCGGUUCAUUUAGGCACUUGGUCUCAGCUGGCCCCCAAAACACGAAUGCAAUCAGCAAAUGGAAGAAGGCAGCAGCUUGGGACUGAAGCUGCAGACAGCAGCGCUUCCUCAUGAGAGCCCUACAGACCCAAACCUGUUCUUGGUGAGGAGUGCGGGAUUGAAGGAGAAAACACAGCCAGCUGCUGUGCCACUGGGAGCUGAGUCAGCCACCGGGAUGGGGACUGCAGGUUAAGCUCUGUGGGUCACAGAAAUACUCUGUGCUCCUGGCUGUCAUCAGCUCCAUUCUUGCCGUGGAACAGGGGGCUCCACCAGCUCUGAUCUGUGCUCGAGCAAACUGUCAUUGCUCCUCAGCCUGGGGACAACCUUUCCAGGUCCAGGAAUGUUAAGAGCAGCUCUUGAGGACUUACUGUUAGCUCACCUGUGUUCUUCUAUUACCAGAGCACACCCCCAUCAACAGCUGGCUGGAUUCUAUCAAACUGAAAGAGGGGAGAUUUAGAUUGGAUAUAAGGAAGAUGUUUUUACACUGAGGGAGGAUGAGCCUCCCUGCACUGGGAUGGUGUCAGGACGGCGUGCCUGGGCUGCAGGCCCUGGGGCAGAGCAGGAGCCCAGCACUGCUGCACCCCAUGCAGGAGGUUGGCAGCCUACAGGCUGUUACAGUGCUGUGGAUGGAGGUGCUGUGCUGCUCAGCAUUGGCCACCUGCACCCAAAGCGGAACAUGCAGAGAGCGCGGAUGGUGAAAUGGAGGGCUUGGGCUGCAUCUGACAAAGAAAAAGACAUGUACUCCCCAGGGUCCCCCGAGGAGAACGUGCUCAGCGUCACAUUCUGCAAGCCACUGCUUUGAAUAAGAACUGCUUUACACAACCCCGUGUGAGCCAACAGCACAAGGGAGCUCAGCCCAUCUCCAGCACCUGCACUGCAGCCUUGCCUGCCCCAAAGCCCUCCCCAGCCCGCAUGCUUUUGGCUGCUUUGCAGGACACAGUCCUGAUGCUGCUGCACCCAAAAACUCUCUCCUACAUCCACUUCUCAUCCAACAGUUAAUAUCGUUCAGGCAUUAAGCUCGGAUCUAAAGGAUGUUGUACACACCGGGGCAGCCAUCGCUGAAACUACUGUAGCCUCCUGCAUGGCCUGAGUGCCUUUGGUCUGGUCCUGCACCGCACUGCAAGCAAAAUGAAUGCUUUGUUCUUCAUUUCACAGCACCGCAGCUGCACUUCACAACACAGGGUUGACAAAUCCUAAAGCAAACCAGGGAUAACACAGCGGGCAGGAAACCUUCCCCACCACCACGAUGUGCUCUGGGACUUCCUUUAGCCCAGCAGCUGCAGUGCUGGGGAAUGCAGUCAGGCAGAAAACAGAGCCCAGAAUAGGCAUGUGUGUCACUAAAACCACAUCUGAGGGCAGAGCUGAAGUCAGAGGAAAAGAAGUCAGAGGAAAAAGGUGCGACACACCAACGAGGGCUGCUGCAGAGAUGGGUUAAUGCAUUCCUUUAGACACAAGUGAGAACUGGUUCCGUAUGUUCUCUAUUGACCAGAUGUGUAACAAUGUACACCAUUUUACAUGGUGGUAGAAAAAUGAUAAAGCUAUCAGGAAAACCACAAUGUGAUUUAAGAAGUGAAAGUACAUUUGUGAGAAAGCCCUCUUCCAGGCAAUCCAACACCUAAUUUAAUGGGGCCAUCAAGAAUUAUGGAGGUGGUUUGAUUCGUUUUAGAAAGCAAAAUCUUCUGAGUGGGAAAAUGCUGAUUUAGCUGAGCAGUGCAUUUAAAAACGUGAAGCUCAAUAGCUGGACCCUGCCCAAUGCAUUCUCAUCAACAAAGCUCAGCUCACUCCAGGAGAAAGGAACAGAAACUCUGAUCUGAUAAGCAGGAUGCCAGACCAGAGCUGGUGGCUAAGCCAGGGCAGCUGUUUCAGUGCCAAACAGAGCAAUACCCGGACUCCAUUGAGCACCCGCAGCCCCAGGCACAGCCCAGACACCAACAAACCACCCCAAACACCUUCAAGUCCUGCAGUACUUCCACAACGCACACAGCAGCAGGUGAGAGAUGAAC
This 2735-nucleotide long non-coding RNA is filed under the name Gallus gallus (chicken). The record is from RNAcentral. Lineage: Eukaryota; Metazoa; Chordata; Aves; Galliformes; Phasianidae.